Molecule: ribosomal RNA, 468 nt
Filed under: uncultured bacterium
Lineage: Bacteria
Description: partial 16S ribosomal RNA
Rfam family: Bacterial small subunit ribosomal RNA
Source: RNAcentral
GACGAACGCUGGCGGCGUGCUUAACACAUGCAAGUCGAACGGAAAGGCCCUGCUUUUGUGGGGUGCUCGAGUGGCGAACGGGUGAGUAACACGUGAGUAACCUGCCCUUGACUUUGGGAUAACUUCAGGAAACUGGGGCUAAUACCGGAUAGGAGCUCCUGCUGCAUGGUGGGGGUUGGAAAGUUUCGGCGGUUGGGGAUGGACUCGCGGCUUAUCCGCUUGUUGGUGGGGUAGUGGCUGACCAAGGCUUUGACGGGUAGGCGGCCUGAGAGGGUGACCGGGCACAGUGGGACUGCGAUACGGCCCAGAAUGCUACGUGAGGCAGCAGUGGGGAAUAUUGCACAAUGGGCGGAAGCCUGAUGCAGCAAUGUCGCGUGCGGGAUGACGGCUUUCGGGUUGUAAACCGCUUUCGACUGUGACGAAGCGUGAGUGACGGUAAUGGGUAAAGAAGCACCGGCUAACUACGUG